Molecule: ribosomal RNA, 378 nt
Filed under: uncultured bacterium
Lineage: Bacteria
Description: bacterial SSU rRNA
Rfam family: Bacterial small subunit ribosomal RNA
Source: RNAcentral
CGGUAAUACGUAGGGGGUGAGCGUUGUCCGGAUUUACUGGGUGUAAAAGGCGCGCAGGCGGGUUAGCAAGUCAGAGGUGAAAUCCUACAGCUUAACUGUAGAACUGCCUUUGAGACUGCUAAUCUUGAGUACGGAAGAGGGGGAUGGAAUUCCAGGUGUAGUGGUGAAAUACGUAGAUAUCUGGAAGAACCCCAGUGGCGAAGGCGGUCUCUUGGUCCAUUACUGACGCUAAGGCGCGAAAGCGUGGGGAGCAAACAGGAUUAGAUACCCUGGUAGUCCACGCUGUAAACGAUGAAUACUAGGUGUCGGGUCGAAAGGUUCGGUACCGAAGCUAACGCAUUAAGUAUUCCACCUGGGGAGUACGAUCGCAAGGUUGAA